GAUGAACGCUGGCGGCGUGCCUAAUACAUGCAAGUCGAGCGAACGGACGAGAAGCUUGCUUCUCUGAUGUUAGCGGCGGACGGGUGAGUAACACGUGGAUAACCUACCUAUAAGACUGGGAUAACUUCGGGAAACCGGAGCUAAUACCGGAUAAUAUUUUGAACCGCAUGGUUCAAAAGUGAAAGACGGUCUUGCUGUCACUUAUAGAUGGAUCCGCGCUGCAUUAGCUAGUUGGUAAGGUAACGGCUUACCAAGGCAACGAUGCAUAGCCGACCUGAGAGGGUGAUCGGCCACACUGGAACUGAGACACGGUCCAGACUCCUACGGGAGGCAGCAGUAGGGAAUCUUGCGCAAUGGGCGAAAGCCUGACGGAGCAACGCCGCGUGAGUGAUGAAGGUCUUCGGAUCGUAAAACUCUUUUAUUAGGGAAGAACAUAUGUGUAAGUAACUGUGCACAUCUUGACGGUACCUAAUCAGAAAGCCACGGCUAACUACGUG
RNAcentral lists this ribosomal RNA (497 nucleotides) under uncultured bacterium. RNAcentral's name for it is "partial 16S ribosomal RNA". It matches the Rfam family "Bacterial small subunit ribosomal RNA", at positions 28 to 507 of the family's 1533-position model. The record is from RNAcentral.